GGAUGUGAGGGCUAUCUGGCUGUGACAUCUGUCACCCCAUUGAUCACCAGGAUUGAUUUGGUUGAUCUGGCUGACUAGGCGGGUGUCCCCUUCCUCCUUCACCUUUCCAUGGGCAUCACUCCCAAAGCUGUGUCAAUAGAGGAGGACCAUCUUUGGUCAAGGGUAUACGACAAGCAGCUGUGUUCCCCUGCUAGAACCUGGAAACAAGCUCUCAAGGUCCAUUUGUAGGACCACAUAAGGUAAUCAAGCUUCCAAGACUCCAGACACAUCCAAAUGAGGCACUGCACGUGGCAGUCUGCCUUUCUUU
Molecule: unclassified non-coding RNA, 307 nt
Organism: Panthera pardus (leopard)
Lineage: Eukaryota; Metazoa; Chordata; Mammalia; Carnivora; Felidae
Gene: 7SK
Rfam family: 7SK RNA
About the family: 7SK was discovered as an abundant small nuclear RNA in the mid-70s but a possible function has only recently been suggested. Two independent studies have found that 7SK RNA binds the CDK9/cyclin T complex (known as elongation factor P-TEFb). P-TEFb activates transcription by phosphorylating the C-terminal domain of RNA polymerase II.
Source: Ensembl